Molecule: long non-coding RNA, 402 nt
Filed under: Mus pahari (shrew mouse)
Lineage: Eukaryota; Metazoa; Chordata; Mammalia; Rodentia; Muridae
Description: lncRNA (MGP_PahariEiJ_G0005250.1)
Source: RNAcentral
UUUCCGGGCAGCGCCGUGGAGCGCAAGCGGACCGUGCCGAAUGGCGGGCAGCGGAGGCCCCGGGCGGCCGAGCCCGGCGUGGCCUUGGGCUCUUCCAGGUGUAACAAAACCUGUCUCAUUUGAAGGUGCUUGAACAAAUACUUUCCAAAAACUUGUCAUGGAGAGUGAGUGAAACAAGCUACCAGGACUACAUUUGCAAAGAACAAGCAUGUAGGUGGCUGUAGUGGAUGUCCAACAUUGGGAGCUGUGAUUUCUAAAAACCCUUCAUUGUUUUGUCUCACAUUUUGGAAGGUAAAAUGAAGACCAUGAACAAAGUCAAGAAACCACGAACAGAAGCAAAUGAUGAAAAUUAGUAUUUAAUUUGAUAUUAAUAAAAUAAGUUAUGUAGAAAUAGUUAAUCUU